CUUCAAUUGCAGAUUGUUGCUAUACUCCAUAAUGCCAUUAAUUUACAUUAAUGUCAGUCUUUCCUUACUAGGCUCUUAUUAAUUAGCUGUUCCUUGACACAUAUUCUGAUGUAGACUUUUUGUAAGUCAUUAAAGUCCUCUGUGUGGAGACCUCCUCAAAGACCUUUUAGUUUGUGUAUAAUUGACAAACCAGAUGACAGCUUUUACUGUUGAUCAUAAAACUGCAGCCAAUUCACUCGGGCACUGGAUUUAUGUUUUGAAACCUUUCCUUUUAACAUUUUUGUAGAGAAAAAAUUUAAAUGCAGGUACAUUUAUUUAUUAGAUAGUCUAAAAUAUGCCCUUUUCUGCAAGGUCAAGUUCAGAAGAGUUUUUAAUCCAAUGAACAAUUACUUUUUGAGAUUUUGUAAUCAGAAAUCCUCCUUAGAAGCACCCACUCCAUAUGAAUUCUCUUAAAAACUCUCAUGUUUUAAAAUAAUUUUUCUGAACUAGUAUUUAAAGGCACAGAUUUUCAUGUGUUUAAUAUGCCAUCUCACUGAGUGUAGUCCCAAGCAUCCAGGGACUGAAAACACCCACUUCUUGGAAAAAGGCAACAUCCUUAGGAGGCAGUGAAGGCAGAGCUUGUCAAUCAAGAGUACUCUGGGCUUCAAAGUGCCUGACUUCUGGGUUGGUUUCAUGUAAGCUUAUUACUACAUUCCAAUCACAGUCAUUGCUUCAUUCCUUUAUUCACUCAAAAAUACUUACUGAGCACUAACUCUAUAUCCAGUAUUAAUAGCUAGAUAUCAGUGAGCAAGAGAAAAAAAAAUCUACCUUCAUGCAACUUAGUUUCCAAGGUGAAGAGGAGAUGGACAAUAUGCAAGAAAUCUUAUAGAAGUCUGGGUGAUAAUUAAGUGGGGAGGGAUGCUUAAUGCAGUUUGUCCUUUUUCUUUGUUCUUCCACUCUUUUCACAGCUGGAGGGUCAGCAUGGGGAUAUAGCAGACAUCUUGCAUUCAUGAAGAUGAAAGAUGCUCUUAAUUAAGGGUCCAGAAGCAGAUAAAGAUACUCAUUAAGGUUCCAGUGCAGAAAUCUUGGGUCUUAAUAAUGCUGUGGGACCACCACGCCAACUUAUAACUAGACUUCCUACUUCCUGUCUCUAGCCCUCUCUGUGUAUGUGAAAAAUAAACAUUUCUUCCUAUUUAGUGAAGAUGCUAUUUGUAUUUUUGUUACAUGAAUUUAAACAGAAUCCCAAUGCUUAUAAUUUUUGCUUCAGUGAUUUUUUUUCUUUUUUAAUUCUCAAACUUCGGAGAUCUGCAACAUGGCUGUGGGCACAGAGAGAUCAAGUCUCUGACCUCUUCAGCUGCGCGGGCAUAGGGAGUCGCAAACCAUCUAAAUGCUGUUUGCUCAGGAUCACUAGGCAAUGCUGAGCUGACGUGGAUCUGGGGCGAACAGUCUGGGCCUCUCAGAACACACACAGAGCCCGGAUCAGCUGAAUUCAAGCUCCCGUUCGCCUCCUUCUAGCAGACAAACUGCUGUGACUCAGCACUAAAGGAUCCUGCUGAAACAACUGGUCGACCCUUCUGAUCCUAUGGAGGUUAAUGCCAACCGAGCCUUCAUAGGCAGUGGCCACAGGAUUGAAACCGGGCUUGGGAGAGCCAGUCAGGACCCACCCGUUGCAUUCGUCACCUGGCAAAGGGAACGAACUGUCGCCUUUUGCAUGGGAUACCACCAUGGCAGAGAACUGACGUCACCAGAAUGCGGCGGAGGAGAUAACUCCAUUGAAACCGGCGGUGACAGUGACUUCUUCCCUUCCCUUUUAAUACCUUUCCUCCCAAGCAUCAAAUAAAUUUAUAGGAGUAAACAGUAACUCAGCAGUCAAACAGAACAAGAAGUAACAUGAGCAGCAUGAAAAAGCAAGGAAGAAAAGGAGUACAAACAAUGCAGGACAGCCUAAAUAUUCAGGAGGACCUAGAGGCAUCAGAAAAAUGGUCAAAUAAAGAACUCAAGGAAUACCUUAGACAGAUGGAAUGGAACCUUAAAGAGGAUAUGAGACAGCAAAUUCAAACANAUAAAAGAAGAAAUUAAGCAUCUUUAUCAGGAGAUAGAGAUUAUUAAAAAAAAUCAAACAAUAAUUCUAGAAAUGAAGGAAACUGUAAACCAAAUUAAAAACUCAAAUGAGAGUAUCACUAACAGAGUGGAGCAAGUAGAAGCCAGAACGUCAGAUAAUGAAGACAAAAUAUAUCAUCUUGUAAUUCUCAAACUUCUGCCUGCUAUUUUCUUUUUUCUCAUUUCUGGAGGUAACAGUCCUGGUCUGGCAUUUCUAAUGCCUGUACUUCAAGGUUUUCUUCAGAGCCAUGGUAGAGGAUUUUCUUGUCUGUCCUUAGUAUUCCUACAGGGUGCCCUAGUUUGUAACAGUAAGAUGGCUCCUGGGUUUGAGCAUGGCCAUGGGAUAAAAUCAAGUUACCCAGCCACUUUAGGAUUGUGUCUUUCUCCCUAAUUUCAUUAGCUCUGUUGCUUCACUUUGUGAAAUAACACUAUGAAAUUGCUGUUUGUUUGGUUUUUUUUCCUAGAGUAAGAUUGUUUCUACAUCCGUUGUUUUGUCAUUCAAAGUUGCAAGAAAUGAACUUCUGGGGCCAGAAUGUAGUUACCCUCAAGAAGGUAUAUUCAUAAUAUCAAAAAUGUUAUUUUUUUAGUGGAUGAUAUGAAACUUGGAGUUCAUUUUCAAGUUAGUUGUCUCUAGGCUGAUACAAUGUAUUAAUGAGCAGAAAUGGAGGUGGAGAGAGAAAGCCCCUGAGAAACCAAACUAACCUUCUGAAUUUUCAAAUUCAGGGAAUACUUGGAUGGUUUAACGGUCUUAUCAAUCUUGUUUUGUCCUAUGUCUCCACCAGAAAUUCCCUCAGAAGUUGAGUGAGCUUGGAAUCCUCCUUGAGAAUUUUAUCUCUCCAGGCAUUAAACUCUUUAAGAAUAUUAUCCUUUAGAACCAUUUUUAUAGUUUAAAUGAUGAAAUACAUCUUUAC
RNAcentral lists this long non-coding RNA (2990 nucleotides) under Marmota monax (woodchuck). Lineage: Eukaryota; Metazoa; Chordata; Mammalia; Rodentia; Sciuridae. The record is from RNAcentral.